Molecule: ribosomal RNA, 177 nt
Filed under: Triticum aestivum (bread wheat)
Lineage: Eukaryota; Viridiplantae; Streptophyta; Magnoliopsida; Poales; Poaceae
Description: partial small subunit ribosomal RNA
Source: RNAcentral
UCAAAAAAACUUUUCUUAUUUGUCCUUUUAUCUUCCCAUUCAUCUCCACUAUACCCCUCGUCUUGUAAUUCCUUCCAUUCGACCAAAGAAUUCUCUAUAAUCUUUCCCUAUAAUCUCUCCCUAAUAAUAAAGCACGGAUUGGGUCUCCGGGUUCACCGUCGCAGUGUUUUUGCAUAA